GAGUUUGAUCAUGGCUCAGAUUGAACGCUGGCGGUAGGCCUAACACAUGCAAGUCGAACGGCAGCACAGCAGUAGCAAUACUGUGGGUGGCGAGUGGCGGACGGGUGAGGAAUACAUCGGAAUCUACUCUGUCGUGGGGGAUAACGUAGGGAAACUUACGCUAAUACCGCAUACGACCUACGGGUGAAAGUGGGGGACCGCAAGGCCUCACGCGAUUGAAUGAGCCGAUGUCGGAUUAGCUAGUUGGCGGGGUAAAGGCCCACCAAGGCGACGAUCCGUAGCUGGUCUGAGAGGAUGAUCAGCCACACUGGAACUGAGACACGGUCCAGACUCCUACGGGAGGCAGCAGUGA
This 352-nucleotide ribosomal RNA is filed under the name uncultured Gammaproteobacteria bacterium. RNAcentral's name for it is "bacterial SSU rRNA". It matches the Rfam family "Bacterial small subunit ribosomal RNA", at positions 9 to 357 of the family's 1533-position model. The record is from RNAcentral. Lineage: Bacteria; Pseudomonadati; Pseudomonadota; Gammaproteobacteria.